Caretta caretta (loggerhead turtle) is the source of this 390-nucleotide non-coding RNA. The record is from RefSeq and is a predicted model, not a curated record. NCBI's taxonomy places the organism in Eukaryota, Metazoa, Chordata, Testudines, Cheloniidae.
CCCCCCCCCCACAACAAAGACCGACAGCCAAUCAGCGCCGGGGGGCGGGGCUUCCGCGUGGGGAAUCGGCCGAUGCGCCGCCUGAGUAAGAAAGUCUGGAGGGUGAUUGUCCUCCUCUGGAUCUUUGGACAGCUACUGCCACAACCAGAGAGCUAAGAGAAGAGCAGUUCAGAGACUGGAUUUAUCUGAAGAGACCAGAGACAACGGCUAUAAAAUAAGAUACCAAGUUUAAAGGAAGAGGUGCAAAUAUUAGAGAAAUGCAAGAAGGCAUUCCAGGGCUCUCUCUCUUCUGUGCCCCAGGCUGACUCAAUCACUGUGUUUUGAGACUGCUACUCUGGUGUUGGCCUUUUAACUUUGGUAUCAGAUCUUUUGAGUGGACAGGAUGUAUAC